AGAGUUUGAUCCUGGCUCAGAACGAACGCUGGCGGCAGGCCUAACACAUGCAAGUCGAACGAUAAGCCACCUUCGGGUGGUGGACAGUGGCAGACGGGUGAGUAACGCGUGGGAACGUGCCUUUCGGUUCGGGAUAACCCAGGGNAAACUUGGGCUAAUACCGGAUACGCCCUUCGGGGGAAAGAUUCAUUGCCGAAAGAUCGGCCCGCGUCGGAUUAGCUAGUUGGUGGGGUAAUGGCCUACCAAGGCGACGAUCCGUAGCUGGUCUGAGAGGAUGACCAGCCACACUGGGACUGAGACACGGCCCANACUCCUACGGGAGGCAGCAGUGGGGAAUAUUGGACAAUGGGCGCAAGCCUGAUCCAGCCAUGCCGCGUGGGUGAAGAAGGCCUUAGGGUUGUAAACCCCUUUCAGCGGGGAAGAUAAUGACGGUACCCGCAGAAGAAGUCCCGGCUAACUCCGUGCCAGCAGCCGCGGUAAUACGGAGGGGACUAGCGUUGUUCGGAAUUACUGGGCGUAAAGCGCACGUAGGCGGAUUUGUAAGUCAGGGGGUGAAAUCCCGGGGCUCAACCUCGGAACUGNCUUUGAUACUGCAAAUCUCGAGUCCGGAAGAGGUGAGUGGAAUUCCUAGUGUAGAGGUGAAAUUCGUAGAUAUUAGGAAGAACACCAGUGGCGAAGGCGGCUCACUGGUCCGGUACUGACGCUGANGUG
This 711-nucleotide ribosomal RNA is filed under the name uncultured bacterium. RNAcentral's name for it is "bacterial SSU rRNA". It matches the Rfam family "Bacterial small subunit ribosomal RNA", at positions 8 to 753 of the family's 1533-position model. The record is from RNAcentral.